This 1402-nucleotide ribosomal RNA is filed under the name uncultured bacterium. RNAcentral describes it as "16S ribosomal RNA". It matches the Rfam family "Bacterial small subunit ribosomal RNA". The record is from RNAcentral.
AGAGUUUGAUCCUGGCUCAGGAUGAACGCUAGCGGCAGGCUUAACACAUGCAAGUCGAGGGGCAGCGGGGAGGAAGCUUGCUUUCUCCGCCGGCGACCGGCGCACGGGUGAGUAACACGUAUGCAACCUGCCCCUGUCAGGGGGACAACCCGCCGAAAGGCGGGCUAAACCCGCGUACAUGCCACCGGGGCAUCCCGGAGGCAGGAAAGGCUUCGGCCGGACAGGGAUGGGCAUGCGGCGCAUUAGGCAGUAGGCGGGGUAACGGCCCACCUAACCGACGAUGCGUAGGGGUUCUGAGAGGAAGGUCCCCCACACUGGUACUGAGACACGGACCAGACUCCUACGGGAGGCAGCAGUGAGGAAUAUUGGUCAAUGGUCGGGAGACUGAACCAGCCAAGCCGCGUGAGGGAGGAAGGUACAGAGUAUCGUAAACCUCUUUUGUCAGGGAACAAAGGCGGGGGCGUGUCCCCGGAUGAGUGUACCUGAAGAAAAAGCAUCGGCUAACUCCGUGCCAGCAGCCGCGGUAAUACGGAGGAUGCGAGCGUUAUCCGGAUUUAUUGGGUUUAAAGGGUGCGCAGGCGGUCUGUUAAGUCAGCGGUCAAAGCCCGGGGCUCAACCCCGGCCCGCCGUUGAAACUGGCAGUCUCGAGUUGGAGAGAAGUAUGCGGAAUGCGCGGUGUAGCGGUGAAAUGCAUAGAUAUCGCGCAGAACUCCGAUUGCGAAGGCAGCAUGCCGGCUCCACACUGACGCUGAGGCACGAAAGCGUGGGUAUCGAACAGGAUUAGAUACCCUGGUAGUCCACGCAGUAAACGAUGAAUGCUGGCUGUCCGGGGGGAUUGACCCCUGGGUGGCGAAGCGAAAGCGAUAAGCAUUCCACCUGGGGAGUACGCCGGCAACGGUGAAACUCAAAGGAAUUGACGGGGGCCCGCACAAGCGGAGGAACAUGUGGUUUAAUUCGAUGAUACGCGAGGAACCUUACCCGGGCUCAAACGGGGAGUGACUCAGGCAGAGACGCCUGUUUCCCACGGGACACUCCCCGAGGUGCUGCAUGGUUGUCGUCAGCUCGUGCCGUGAGGUGUCGGCUUAAGUGCCAUAACGAGCGCAACCCCCGCGUGCAGUUGCUAACAGAUAACGCUGAGGACUCUGCACGGACUGCCGGCGCAAGCCGCGAGGAAGGCGGGGAUGACGUCAAAUCAGCACGGCCCUUACGUCCGGGGCGACACACGUGUUACAAUGGGUGGUACAGCGGGAAGCCAGGCGGCGACGCCGAGCGGAACCCGAAAUCCACUCUCAGUUCGGAUCGGAGUCUGCAACCCGACUCCGUGAAGCUGGAUUCGCUAGUAAUCGCGCAUCAGCCAUGGCGCGGUGAAUACGUACCCGGGCCUUGCACACACCGCCCGUCA